This 467-nucleotide ribosomal RNA is filed under the name uncultured bacterium. RNAcentral's name for it is "partial 16S ribosomal RNA". It matches the Rfam family "Bacterial small subunit ribosomal RNA", at positions 29 to 507 of the family's 1533-position model. The record is from RNAcentral.
AGUGAACGCUGGCGGUAGGCCUAACACAUGCAAGUCGAACGGCAGCACAGUAAGAGCUUGCUCUUACGGGUGGCGAGUGGCGGACGGGUGAGGAAUACAUCGGAAUCUACUUUUUCGUGGGGGAUAACGUAGGGAAACUUACGCUAAUACCGCAUACGACCUACGGGUGAAAGCAGGGGAUCUUCGGACCUUGCGCGAUUGAAUGAGCCGAUGUCGGAUUAGCUAGUUGGCGGGGUAAAGGCCCACCAAGGCGACGAUCCGUAGCUGGUCUGAGAGGAUGAGCAGCGACACGGAGAGUGAGACACAGCCCAGACGCCUACGGGAGGCAGCAGUGGCGAAUAGUGGAAAAUGGGCGAAAGCAAGAGCCAGCAAUGCCGCGUGAGUGAUGAAGGCCUUAAGGUUGUAAAGCUCUUUGACCCGGGAUUAUAAUGACAGUACCGAGAGAAUAAGCACCGGCUAACUCCGUG